This 250-nucleotide ribosomal RNA is filed under the name Candidatus Neptunichlamydia sp. RNAcentral's name for it is "partial 16S ribosomal RNA". It matches the Rfam family "Bacterial small subunit ribosomal RNA", at positions 1286 to 1533 of the family's 1533-position model. Lineage: Bacteria; Pseudomonadati; Chlamydiota; Chlamydiia; Parachlamydiales; Simkaniaceae. The record is from RNAcentral.
UCUCAGUUCGGAUUGGGGUCUGCAACUCGACCCCAUGAAGUCGGAAUCGCUAGUAAUCGCGUAACAGCAUGACGCGGUGAAUACGUUCCCGGGCCUUGUACACACCGCCCGUCACACCAUGGGAGUUGGGUUUACCCGAAGGCCGUGCGCCAACCUUUAUAGGGGGCAGCGGACCACGGUGAGCUCAGCGACUGGGGUGAAGUCGUAACAAGGUAGCCGUAGGGGAACCUGCGGCUGGAUCACCUCCUUU